GAUGAACGCUAGCGAUAGGCCUAACACAUGCAAGUCGAGGGGCAUCACAUGAAGUAGCAAUACGGAUGGUGGCGACCGGCGCACGGGUGAGUAACACGUAUGCAACCUGCCUUCAACAAGGGGAUAACCCGUUGAAAGACGGACUAAUACCCUAUAACACAGGGGUCCCGCAUGGGAAUAUUUGUUAAAGGACAACCGGUUGAAGAUGGGCAUGCGUUCCAUUAGCUAGUUGGCGGGUAACGGCCCACCAAGGCAACGAUGGAUAGGGGAACUGAGAGGUUUAUCCCCCACACUGGUACUGAGACACGGACCAGACUCCUACGGGAGGCAGCAGUGAGGAAUAUUGGUCAAUGGACGCAAGUCUGAACCAGCCACGUCGCGUGAAGGAAGACGGCCCUACGGGUUGUAAACUUCUUUUGCAAGGGAAUAAAGUGGGCCACGUGUGGCCUUUUGCAAGUACCUUGCGAAUAAGGAUCGGC
This 479-nucleotide ribosomal RNA is filed under the name uncultured bacterium. RNAcentral's name for it is "bacterial SSU rRNA". It matches the Rfam family "Bacterial small subunit ribosomal RNA", at positions 28 to 497 of the family's 1533-position model. The record is from RNAcentral.